RNAcentral lists this ribosomal RNA (414 nucleotides) under Triticum aestivum (bread wheat). Its description in RNAcentral is "partial small subunit ribosomal RNA". The record is from RNAcentral. Lineage: Eukaryota; Viridiplantae; Streptophyta; Magnoliopsida; Poales; Poaceae.
AUGGCGCCUAUCCACGUCUCUUCCUCGGAGGUCAUCCUCCUGGACGACAGCGACGACGAGGAGCUGCUUGGUAUGAACAUCGCUGACAUGACCUUGCUUGACGACCUUGACUUCUCCGACAACAGCCACGGCAACAAGAAGACAUGUGUUAAUGCAGACGACGUUGUUGUUAUCUCCUCCUCCGGCGAUGAGGAGUCAGCUGCUGACAACGGCGCCACAGACUCCAACAGUGGCAAGUCGUUUGUCUCCACGGACUCAAAUUCAAUAAGCAAGAAGAAGCGGAAGCCAAGGGCCGAGUACAACUACUGGCACUCCAGCGACGAGCACUGGAUAAUUGAAACCGAUGGAAUGCUCCGAAGGAAGAAGAAAUACAAAGGCGGGGACGUACCAGUGCCGGUGCCAUACAGAAGUUAA